This 509-nucleotide ribosomal RNA is filed under the name uncultured bacterium. RNAcentral's name for it is "bacterial SSU rRNA". It matches the Rfam family "Bacterial small subunit ribosomal RNA", at positions 28 to 527 of the family's 1533-position model. The record is from RNAcentral.
GACGAACGCUGGCGGCGUGGAUUAGGCAUGCAAGUCGAACGGUAUCAUUCCUUUCGGGGGUGAGAGAGUGGCGAACUGGUGAGUAACACGUAGGUUAUCUACCCUCAAGACGGGGACAACCCAGGGAAACUUGGCUAAUACCGGAUGUGAGCAACUUUUUAGUUUGUUUGAAAGGUGGCGUAAGCUGUCGCUUGGGGAUGAGCCUGCGUCCUAUUAGUUAGUUGGUGAGGUAACGGCUCACCUAGGCAAUGAUAGGUAGGCGGCCUUAACGGGUGGUCGCCCACACUGGGAUUGAGAUACGGCCCAGACUCCUACGGGAGGCAGCAGUCGAGAAUAGUCUACAAUGGUCGGAAGACUGAUAGUGCGACGCCGCGUGAACGAUGAAUCCCUUCGGGGUGUAAAGUUCUUUUAUAUGUGAGCAGUGCUUCUUAUAUUAACAGUAUGGGGAGAGAGAUAUUAGCAUAUGAAUAAGCAACGGCUAACUCCGUGCCAGCAGCCGCGGUAAAACG